UACGUAGGCAGCGAGCGUUGUUCGGAGUUACUGGGCGUAAAGAGUGCGUAGGCGGUUUUCUAAGUUUGGUGUGAAAUCUCCCGGCUUAACUGGGAGGGUGCGCCGAAGACUGGAAGGCUUGAGUAUGGGAGAGGUAAGCGGAAUUCCUGGUGUAGCGGUGAAAUGCGUAGAUAUCAGGAGGAACACCUGCGGUGUAGACGGCCUACUGGACCAUAACUGACGCUGAGGCACGAAAGCGUGGGUAGCAAACAGG
This 253-nucleotide ribosomal RNA is filed under the name uncultured bacterium. RNAcentral's name for it is "partial 16S ribosomal RNA". It matches the Rfam family "Bacterial small subunit ribosomal RNA", at positions 524 to 776 of the family's 1533-position model. The record is from RNAcentral.